CACAGUUUGAGGAGUGAUAGCAGACGACAAAAAGUUUGGCAUUGUGUGUACUUCAUCAUAUUAACCCUCAGAGAUAGAGUCGAGACCAGAACCAAGACUAGACCCCUUGAGGCCCAGACUGAGACCUCAAGACCAUCAAGACCUCUCAAGAAGGCGCGGUGAUGCCGGCCUGUGGCGACUAGGGUUUGGACGCCGCUGAGACCCCCUGGUGAUGAUGUCAUAAUGACUGUGGCUGAUGUCAUGAUGAGCCUGGUUGCUGGUUGGACGCAAAGGCUUGUGUGUGUG
Labeo rohita (rohu) is the source of this 285-nucleotide long non-coding RNA. RefSeq lists it as uncharacterized. The transcript has 3 exons. The record is from RefSeq and is a predicted model, not a curated record. NCBI's taxonomy places the organism in Eukaryota, Metazoa, Chordata, Actinopteri, Cypriniformes, Cyprinidae.